GUGUGUUCUCCUACUUAAUAACCACCAAUUACCACCACUUGAUUAUAUGUACACAUAGACCCACUACUUUAGUGCAGGUUUGUCUUGCUCACUGUGGUAGAGCAUAAUUUUUCUGUGUAAUAAUGCUUAUUACCAUCAUUUGUAAUCUCGUUAAAAUAAUCCUUUAUGAUAACUCAUUGAUGCCAAAGUAUGUCUAGGUUGACUUUGCUCUCUUUGCUUGUAUAUUUUAGGGGCUAUCAAAUUUUUUAAAGUUUCUAUGUUUUCUAAGCUUAGUUUUGAUCCAAUUCAUACCAGCCAUCUAGGGGACUCGGGAACAAAAUUAAUCAAUAAAAGAAGUUAUAAAAUCAGCUUACACGUUAAAAUGAGUUCAUUGUGCCCUGUUUCAUUGUGUGUAGCAAAGGACAUGGUUUAAAAAGUUAACAUGUGUUGUUAAGCAUGCUUUUAUCUGUUAUCUACCUGUUUGGUUCUUUUACUGUAAAGCUAUUAGAUAAUUCUUAGUCCUUACCUGUUUCGUUUCCUUUUUUUUUUUUAUGGUUUUUCUUUUCUUUCAUGAUCCGGUUCUGAAUUUUGAUGGUUUCUCUGAUUCCUCUUCUGCUCCGCCGCAAGAGCUACUCUGAUUGUCCCUCAGGCGUGGACUAAGGCUCGACUACUAUGGGAUGUAGGCAAGGACUAAAGGUUGAUGAUGAUGGGAUGUAGACGGUGCUUUGGUGGUGAGGGCUAGAUCAGUGUAGGUGGUGGUCGACUGUGUCUUGUGCAAGGUCGGGGACAGACGGGGACUGAAGGGUGAGGAAUGGGUAAGAUUUUUUCUCACCUGUUUUUUUUUUUUUUUUUUUAAAGAAUUAGCAUAAAACAUGUGAACUAUUUUAUGUCUGGUUUAUGCUAGAGUUUCAAGGGGUAUUCAGUUGAAUCCUAUAUGUUGUUUUCUGACAUAAAUUUCUGAUUAGACCGCAUCCAGCAAUUUGGCGCUGAGUUCAUGGCAUGGCUGUUGUUUACCUUGUUGCCCUCACAUUUUUGCUUUUUCAGGUUAGCUUUUCUCUUUCCUAUCUGUAUAGUGAUCCUUUUUUCCAAAAAAUAAAAAUGAUUGGAGAGUUAAUAUUAUUGGAAAAGUAUGCUCUGAUUUUGGUGUUUUAGUUUUGAAUAUUUAAUGGAGAGUUACUAAGUUGUAGCAAGAAGUUGAAAAUUGGAUCAUAUUGUUUGGAGUAGAAAUACAUGUGUUUUAGUGUUUUUUUUCAUGUAUUAAUGCGAACAUGUAGUUUAGUGUUUUAGUGUUACUAAGUUGUAGCAAAAAGUAUGCCAUGCAUACACUCAACUUCAACAACAUAAUGGGAACAUGUAUUAAUUAUUAUGCAUAAUUUAUCUCACUGUCUAGUUUCCUAUGACAUGAAGUUUUAGGAUAGCUGGUCGCUUGAUAUGCUUUGAGACCUUGUUUAUGAUAUUCCUGUUUGGUUCUUUUACUGUAAAGCUAUUAGAUAAUUCUUAGUCCUUACCUUCCUAGUGACACAUUUCUAUUUAUGCUAUGAUGCAUUCCAAUUUUCUUACUUAAUUUAUAUCUGCACAUACCUUUUUUCUCUUGAUUUCCUUAUUGUAAACUUACCUGCCCCCCUCUCUUUCCCUACUUCCUUUGGGGUUUGAAAAAGCUAUCUUAAAAGUCAUCUUUUAAUUGUUAUGAUGUGUUUUAAUCUUUUCUUUUCUGGAAUUACUGAGCUUGUUUUUUUUCUUUUUUGUUUCUUGUUGUUUCCAGUUUUAUGGUGCAACAACAUUUUUCAUUCAUAGAUCAGACUUUAGUGUCUCCUUGAUUAUGCUUUAUAUGAAGGUAAGAGCUUAAUGGCUCUUUAGUGUCUUGUUUUGUUUUGUUUCAGUAUGGAGCUCUCAGAAGGAAAAUUGGAUUCCAAUGUGGCGGACCUCGAGAGAGAAUCUUACCCUGUUUUGGACGAACUGGGUAGAAAUAGAGGACGCUAACAUCUAUUCUCUUGACAGAUUAGUGGACAGUUAAAAUCCUUGCAAAUUGUUGCAAGCUUGACAACAGAAAGAGAUGGUGAAAUUAGAAAAGCUGCUUUGAAUACUCUUGCCACUAGAUAUAAGAUUCUUGGUGAGGAUAUAUGGAGGUAUGUUGGGAAGCUAACAGAUGCUCAGAAAAGCAUGCUGGAUGAUAGUUUAAAUGGAUGGUUCGAGAGAUGGAAAAAUGGAAGGAAGGGAAGCCUGGCGAAG
Molecule: long non-coding RNA, 2208 nt
Organism: Humulus lupulus (European hop)
Lineage: Eukaryota; Viridiplantae; Streptophyta; Magnoliopsida; Rosales; Cannabaceae
Exons: 3
Source: RefSeq, a predicted model, not a curated record